This 219-nucleotide ribosomal RNA is filed under the name Triticum aestivum (bread wheat). RNAcentral's name for it is "partial small subunit ribosomal RNA". The record is from RNAcentral. Lineage: Eukaryota; Viridiplantae; Streptophyta; Magnoliopsida; Poales; Poaceae.
AUGUCUGGAAGCACGGGAGAACGCUCUUCUGCUUAUAUUAUUACCAGUAUUCGAUAUUGGGUUAUUCAUAGCAUUACUAUACCUUCCUUAUUCAUUGCGGGUUGGUUAUUCGUACCCCCGGAUCUACUAGUCAUCGCCUUUGAGCUGGGAAAAUCCUCGGCCAAACGAAUAUUUCACGGAAAGCCGACAAGGGAUUUUCUUAAUAACUGGGCGCUUUGA